Molecule: ribosomal RNA, 1377 nt
Filed under: uncultured bacterium
Lineage: Bacteria
Description: 16S ribosomal RNA
Rfam family: Bacterial small subunit ribosomal RNA
Source: RNAcentral
AGAGUUUGAUUCUGGCUCAGGAUGAACGCUGGCGGCGUGCUUAACACAUGCAAGUCGAACGGGAAUUAUUUUAUUGAAACUUCGGUCGAUUUAAUUUAAUUCUAGUGGCGGACGGGUGAGUAACGCGUGGGUAACCUGCCUUAUACAGGGGGAUAACAGUCAGAAAUGGCUGCUAAUACCGCAUAAGCGCACAGAGCUGCAUGGCUCAGUGUGAAAAACUCCGGUGGUAUAAGAUGGACCCGCGUUGGAUUAGCUAGUUGGUGGGGCAACGGCCCACCAAGGCGACGAUCCAUAGCCGGCCUGAGAGGGUGAACGGCCACAUUGGGACUGAGACACGGCCCAGACUCCUACGGGAGGCAGCAGUGGGGAAUAUUGCACAAUGGGGGAAACCCUGAUGCAGCGACGCCGCGUGAAGGAAGAAGUAUCUCGGUAUGUAAACUUCUAUCAGCAGGGAAGAUAGUGACGGUACCUGACUAAGAAGCCCCGGCUAACUACGUGCCAGCAGCCGCGGUAAUACGUAGGGGGCAAGCGUUAUCCGGAUUUACUGGGUGUAAAGGGAGCGUAGACGGUGUGGCAAGUCUGAUGUGAAAGGCAUGGGCUCAACCUGUGGACUGCAUUGGAAACUGUCAUACUUGAGUGCCGGAGGGGUAAGCGGAAUUCCUAGUGUAGCGGUGAAAUGCGUAGAUAUUAGGAGGAACACCAGUGGCGAAGGCGGCUUACUGGACGGUAACUGACGUUGAGGCUCGAAAGCGUGGGGAGCAAACAGGAUUAGAUACCCUGGUAGUCCACGCCGUAAACGAUGAAAUAAUAGGGGUCGGGGGGCAGGGUUCUUCGGUGCCGUCGCAAACACAGAAAGUAUUCCACUGGGGGGGUACGUUCGCAAGAAAGAAACUCAAAGAAAAUGACGGGGACCCGCACACGCGGCGGAGCAUGUGGUUUAAUUUGAAGCAACGCGAAGAACCUUACCAAGUCUUGACAUCCGCCUGACCGAUCCUUAACCGGAUCUUUCUUUCGGGACAGGCGAGACAGGUGGUGCAUGGUUGUCGUCAGCUCGUGUCGUGAGAUGUUGGGUUAAGUCCCGCAACGAGCGCAACCCCUAUCCUCAGUAGCCAGCAUUUAAGGUGGGCACUCUGGGGAGACUGCCAGGGAUAACCUGGAGGAAGGCGGGGAGGACGUCAAAUCAUCAUGCCCCCUACGAUUUGGGCUACACACGUGCUACAAUGGCGUAAACAAAGGGAAGCGAGAGUGUGAGAUGGAGCAAAUCCCAAAAAUAACGUCCCAGUUCGGACUGUAGUCUGCAACCCGCCUACACGAAGCUGGAAUCGUUAGUAAUCGCGGAUCAGAAUGCCGCGGUGAAUAAGUUGCCGCGUCUUGCAC